AGAGUUUGAUCCUGGCUCAGAUUGGACGCUGGCGGCAUGCUUUACACAUGCAAGUCGAACGGUAACAGGGUGCUUGCACCGCUGACGAGUGGCGAACGGGUGAGUAAUGCGUCGGAACGUGCCGAGUAAUGGGGGAUAACGCAUCGAAAGGUGUGCUAAUACCGCAUACGCUCUGAGGAGGAAAGCUGGGGAUCGAAAGACCUGGCGUUAUUCGAGCGGCCGACGUCUGAUUAGCUAGUUGGUGAGGUAAAGGCUCACCAAGGCGACGAUCGGUAGCGGGUCUGAGAGGAUGAUCCGCCACACUGGGACUGAGACACGGCCCAGACUCCUACGGGAGGCAGCAGUGGGGAAUUUUGGACAAUGGGGCAACCCUGAUCCAGCCAUGCCGCGUGUCUGAAGAAGGCCUUCGGGUUGUAAAGGACUUUUGUUAGGGAGCAAGUCCUGCAGGUUAAGAGCUAGUAGGGAUGAGAGUACCUAAAGAAUAAGCACCGGCUAACUACGUGCCAGCAGCCGCGGUAAUACGUAGGGUGCAAGCGUUAAUCGGAAUUACUGGGCGUAAAGGGUGCGCAGGCGGUAUUGUAAGCCAGAUGUGAAAUCCCCGGGCUCAACCUGGGAACUGCGUUUGGAACUGCAAUGCUAGAGUGUGUCAGAGGGGGGUGGAAUUCCACGUGUAGCAGUGAAAUGCGUAGAGAUGUGGAGGAACACCGAUGGCGAAGGCAGCCCCCUGGGAUAACACUGACGCUCAGGCACGAAAGCGUGGGGAGCAAACAGGAUUAGAUACCCUGGUAGUCCACGCCCUAAACGAUGACAACUAGCCGUUGGGAACCUCGGUUCUUGGUGGCGUAGCUAACGCGAGAAGUUGUCCGCCUGGGGAGUACGGUCGCAAGAUUAAAACUCAAAGGAAUUGACGG
This 911-nucleotide ribosomal RNA is filed under the name uncultured beta proteobacterium. RNAcentral describes it as "bacterial SSU rRNA". It matches the Rfam family "Bacterial small subunit ribosomal RNA", at positions 8 to 916 of the family's 1533-position model. The record is from RNAcentral. Lineage: Bacteria; Pseudomonadati; Pseudomonadota; Betaproteobacteria.